CGUAGGGUGCGAGCGUUAAUCGGAAUUACUGGGCGUAAAGCGUGCGCAGGCGGUUUGUUAAGUCUGAUGUGAAAGCCCCCGGGCUCAACCUGGGAAUGGCAUUGGAAACUGGCAAGCUUGAGUAUGGCAGAGGGGGGUGGAAUUCCGCGUGUAGCAGUGAAAUGCGUAGAGAUGCGGAGGAACACCGAUGGCGAAGGCAGCCCCCUGGGCCAAUACUGACGCUCAGGCACGAAAGCGUGGGGAGCAAACAGGAUU
RNAcentral lists this ribosomal RNA (255 nucleotides) under uncultured bacterium. Its description in RNAcentral is "partial 16S ribosomal RNA". It matches the Rfam family "Bacterial small subunit ribosomal RNA", at positions 526 to 779 of the family's 1533-position model. The record is from RNAcentral.